This 76-nucleotide transfer RNA is filed under the name Alphaproteobacteria bacterium. RNAcentral describes it as "tRNA-Ala". It matches the Rfam family "tRNA". Rfam says of the family: Transfer RNA (tRNA) molecules are approximately 80 nucleotides in length. Lineage: Bacteria; Pseudomonadati; Pseudomonadota; Alphaproteobacteria. The record is from RNAcentral.
GGGGUCAUAGCUCAGUUGGGAGAGCGCUUGAAUGGCAUUCAAGAGGUCAUCGGUUCGAUUCCGUCUGGCUCCACCA